AUUGAACGCUGGCGGCAUGCUUUACACAUGCAAGUCGAACGGCAGCGCGGGCUUCGGCCUGGCGGCGAGUGGCGAACGGGUGAGUAAUGCAUCGGAACGUGCCCAGUAGUGGGGGAUAGCCCGGCGAAAGCCGGAUUAAUACCGCAUACGACCUGAGGGUGAAAGCGGGGGACCGAAAGGCCUCGCGCUAUUGGAGCGGCCGAUGUCGGAUUAGCUAGUUGGUGGGGUAAAGGCUUACCAAGGCGACGAUCCGUAGCUGGUCUGAGAGGACGACCAGCCACACUGGGACUGAGACACGGCCCAGACUCCUACGGGAGGAAGCAGUGGGGAAUUUUGGACAAUGGGGGCAACCCUGAUCCAGCCAUGCCGCGUGAGGGAAGAAGGCCUUCGGGUUGUAAACCGCUUUUGUUCGGGAAGAAAUCCUCUGGGCUAAUACCCCGGGGGGAUGACGGUACCGGAAGAAUAAGCACCGGCUAACUACGUG
This 484-nucleotide ribosomal RNA is filed under the name uncultured bacterium. Its description in RNAcentral is "partial 16S ribosomal RNA". It matches the Rfam family "Bacterial small subunit ribosomal RNA", at positions 29 to 507 of the family's 1533-position model. The record is from RNAcentral.